UGAGACUUUUUUUUUUUUUUUUUUUUUUUUUUUACUGACUAUGCUGUCCCCCAGGCUGAUUUGCUAAUGAAAUUCACUCAAUGCUAUUACAGGUUCUACAGAGAAGGGUCUUCUUUCAAAAAGCCACUAGGACCUGAGCAAUGUCUUCUAUUGCCUGCUUGGUAGAGGAGCUUCCACUAGGGCAAGAUGCUGCCAGUGAAAAGUUCAGGACUUUGGUCCCGCACUGAGAGGAUUCUUUUGCGGUGGACCGUAUGCCACAUUUGGGUGAAUUUCACUGGGACUGGAUGACUUCUGAACUUCAGGAAUCUUUUCAGAAUCAUGACAUAACUUCUUGUUCUGCCGGUGAUGGUGAUAAGGGGUGUUGUGAUGGGUCAACAUGACAAGAUACAAGGUAAGAAAGAAUCCUCUGAAGGCCA
This 416-nucleotide long non-coding RNA is filed under the name Anser brachyrhynchus (Pink-footed goose). RNAcentral describes it as "lncRNA (ENSABRG00000004236.1)". Lineage: Eukaryota; Metazoa; Chordata; Aves; Anseriformes; Anatidae. The record is from RNAcentral.